Molecule: ribosomal RNA, 1036 nt
Filed under: uncultured archaeon
Lineage: Archaea
Description: bacterial SSU rRNA
Rfam family: Archaeal small subunit ribosomal RNA
Source: RNAcentral
UCCAGGCCCUACGGGGUGCAGCAGGCGCGAAACCUUUACAAUGCACGAAAGUGUGAUAAGGGAAUCCCCAGUGCUCACGUACUGCGUGGGCUUUUGCCAAGUGUAAAAAGCUUGGCGAAUAAGUGGUGGGUAAGACUGGUGCCAGCCGCCGCGGUAACACCAGCGCCACGAGUGGUAACCGCGAUUAUUGGGCCUAAAGCGUCCGUAGCCGGUCCUGCAAAUCUUUUGUGAAAUUGUGCGGCUUAAUCGUACAACGUGCAAGAGACACUACAGGACUCGAGACCGGGAGGAGUCAGAAGUAUUCCAGGGGGAGCGGUAAAAUGUUAUAAUCCCUGGAGGACUACCUAUGGCGAAGGCAUCUGACCAGAACGGAUCUGACGGUGAGGGACGAAAGCCAGGGGAGCGAACCGGAUUAGAUACCCGAGUAGUCCUGGCCGUAAACGCUGUGAGCUAGGUGUUGCGUCAGCGACCUGCUGGCGCAGUGUCGAAACGAAGGUGUUAAGCUCACCGCCUGGGAAGUACGGUCGCAAGACUGAAACUUUAAGGAAUUGGCGGGGGAGCACCACAAGGGGUGCGGCGUGCGGUUUAAUCUAACUCAACGCAGAGAACCUCACUAGGGGCGACGGCAGGAUGAAGGUCAGCUUGAAGAGCUUACCUGACAAGCCGAGAGGUGGUGCAUGGCCGCCGUCAGCUCGUGCUGUGAAGUGUCCUCUUAAGUGAGGCAACGAGCGAGACCUGUAUCUGCAAUUGCUAACAGCCACAUGUGGGACUGAGCACUUUGCAGAGACUGCUCCGGAAACGGAGAGGAAGGUGCAGGCUACGGUAGGUCUGUAUGCCCCGAAUCCCCUAGGCUACACGCGCGCAACAAUGGUCGGGACAAUGGGAUGCGACUCCGAAAGGAGAAGCUAAACCUCUAAACCCGAUCCAAGUCUAGAUCGAGGUUUGCAACUCAGCCUCGUGACAACGGAAUCCCUAGUAAUCAGAAGUCAUCAUCUUCUGGGGAAUAUGUCCCUGCUCCUUGCACUCACCGCCCGUC